AAUUUUUUUUUCUCUGUACAUUCAUGAAUUGAUAGUUAGUGAGCUGAAACUCUAAUCCGUAGACCAUUUGGUGCUUCAACUCUUGGGAAUUUCAUCAGUUUAUCUCCACCUAUUUCUUCCCAUCUGUAUUUUGUUACGAAGUAAUGAAGAAAUGUGGAAAUUUCUGCUACACCAAGUUCCUUUCCAGGACAUUGUCUGGUACCACCUCCAAAUACCAAAAAUGAGUUUUGGUGUUCCAGGCUCUUAUCCAUCCAUCUCCAUGGAUUGAACGAAUAUGGAUCAGGAUAAAGUCUUGGAUCGUAAUUCAACUCCCUUGUAUAUACGUAUAUUCUCCAUCCUUUAGGAAUGAUAUACCCAUUUAUUUCCA
RNAcentral lists this unclassified non-coding RNA (367 nucleotides) under Hevea brasiliensis (rubber tree). The record is from RNAcentral. Lineage: Eukaryota; Viridiplantae; Streptophyta; Magnoliopsida; Malpighiales; Euphorbiaceae.